AUUGAACGCUGGCGGCAUGCUUUACACAUGCAAGUCGAACGGUAACAGGGAGCUUGCUCCGCUGACGAGUGGCGAACGGGUGAGUAAUGCAUCGGAACGUACCCAGUCGUGGGGGGAUAACGUAGCGAAAGUUACGCUAAUACCGCACACGUCCUGAGGGAGAAAGCGGGGGACCGUAAGGCCUCGCGCGAUUGGAGCGGCCGAUGUCGGAUUAGCUAGUUGGUGGGGUAAAGCCUACCAAGGCGACGAUCCGUAGCGGGUCUGAGAGGAUGAUCCGCCACACUGGGACUGAGACACGGCCCAGACUCCUACGGGAGGCAGCAGUGGGGAAUUUUGGACAAUGGGGGCAACCCUGAUCCAGCCAUGCCGCGUGAGUGAAGAAGGCCUCGGGUUGUAAAGCGUACUUUCAGUACGGAAAGAAACGACAU
This 428-nucleotide ribosomal RNA is filed under the name uncultured bacterium. RNAcentral describes it as "bacterial SSU rRNA". It matches the Rfam family "Bacterial small subunit ribosomal RNA", at positions 29 to 457 of the family's 1533-position model. The record is from RNAcentral.